UGAGUGAGUGACUUAUCAGUACCUACAGCGUCGUGACAAAAGUAUUCGCGAUUUGGCAAAUAUGACCGUUCGGCUUUGAUUGAAACGUCUCGUAUUUUGUCUCUUGCUUCGCAAAUACUGAACAGAUUUUCAUGUUUGAUACGUCGCUUGUGAGCUUGAUAUACGAUUAGUGCGCAUGUGCAAUGACGUUAU
This is a long non-coding RNA of Haliotis rubra (blacklip abalone), 192 nucleotides long. RefSeq lists it as uncharacterized. The record is from RefSeq and is a predicted model, not a curated record. NCBI's taxonomy places the organism in Eukaryota, Metazoa, Mollusca, Gastropoda, Lepetellida, Haliotidae. The transcript has 4 exons.